UAUUGGACAAUGGGGGCAACCCUGAUCCAGCCAUGCCGCGUGUGUGAAGAAGGCCUUCUGGUUGUAAAGCACUUUUAGCAGUGAAGAAGAUUCCGUGGUUAAUACCCAUGUACGAUGACAUUAGCUGCAGAAUAAGCACCGGCUAACUCUUUGCCAGCAGCCGCGGUAAUACAGAGGGUGCAAGCGUUAAUCGGAUUUACUUGGCGUAAAGCGAGCGUAGGUGGCUUGAUAAGUCAGAUGUGAAAUCCCCGGGCUUAACCUGGGAACUGCAUCUGAUACUGUUAGGCUAGAAUAGGUGAGAGGAAGGUAGAAUUCCAGGUGUAGCGGUGAAAUGCGUAGAGAUCUGGAGGAAUACCGAUGGCGAAGGCAGCCUUCUGGCAUCAUAUUGACACUGAGGUUCGAAAGCGUGGGUAGCAAACAG
Molecule: ribosomal RNA, 421 nt
Filed under: uncultured bacterium
Lineage: Bacteria
Description: bacterial SSU rRNA
Rfam family: Bacterial small subunit ribosomal RNA
Source: RNAcentral